Molecule: ribosomal RNA, 499 nt
Filed under: uncultured bacterium
Lineage: Bacteria
Description: partial 16S ribosomal RNA
Rfam family: Bacterial small subunit ribosomal RNA
Source: RNAcentral
GACGAACGCUGGCGGCGUGCCUAAUACAUGCAAGUCGAGCGAAGUUUUUCUGUUGCUUGCACUAGAAACACUUAGCGGCGAACGGGUGAGUAACACGUAAAGAACCUGUCUCAUAGACUGGGACAACUAUUGGAAACGAUAGCUAAUACCGGAUAACAGUAUUUCUCGCAUGAGAGAUAUUUAAAAGUUGGUUAUGCUAACACUAUGAGAUGGCUUUGCGGUGCAUUAGCUAGUUGGUGGGGUAACGGCCCACCAAGGCGACGAUGCAUAGCCGACCUGAGAGGGUGAUCGGCCACACUGGGACGGAGACACGGCCCAGACGCCUACGGGAGGCAGCAGUAGGGAAUCUUCCGCAAUGGGCGAAAGCCUGACGGAGCAACGCCGCGUGAGUGAAGAAGGAUUUCGGUUCGUAAAGCUCUGUUGUUAGGGAAGAAUGGAUACGUAGUAACUAUACAUGUAAGAGACGGUACCUAACCAGAAAGCCACGGCUAACUACGUG